This 251-nucleotide transfer-messenger RNA is filed under the name Rickettsiales bacterium TMED174. Its description in RNAcentral is "partial transfer-messenger RNA". It matches the Rfam family "Alphaproteobacteria transfer-messenger RNA", at positions 1 to 283 of the family's 355-position model. From Rfam's summary of the family: Bacterial tmRNA, also known as 10Sa RNA or SsrA, is named for its dual tRNA and mRNA-like properties. Its role is to liberate the mRNA from a stalled ribosome. The record is from RNAcentral. Lineage: Bacteria; Pseudomonadati; Pseudomonadota; Alphaproteobacteria; Rickettsiales. RNAcentral also lists the same sequence under 1 other name.
AAUGUUGAAUUAUUAAUAGUUUAGCAAUAUAAAUAAUUGUUGGCUUGCCAACUAUAACGAUAAACGAAAUUCGUAAUAAACAUUGCGGACGUGGGGGCAGUACCCACCACCUCCACCAUUAAUAUUCGGGGGUGAAUUAGGCUCGACGGAUGUCUAAAAGCUUUUCUUUCGUUCGAGAUAGUUCCGACGUAACGGGCUAAUUAUAAAUGCAAAUAAUAAAUUUGCACUUGCUGCUUAAUUAACUUGUUAAU